RNAcentral lists this long non-coding RNA (219 nucleotides) under Panax ginseng (ginseng). RNAcentral's name for it is "long non-coding RNA (PGIN_LNC013241)". The record is from RNAcentral. Lineage: Eukaryota; Viridiplantae; Streptophyta; Magnoliopsida; Apiales; Araliaceae.
UUCGCUUGAGUCUUCAAUCACAUACGAGGGUCCAACAUCCACAAAAAUACUCCCGGAAGCACCAUCCCCAUUCCCACCGCCUCCGCCAAUAAAACUCUGCAUCACAUUCUGCCCAACUUGCUGCGCAGCUCCUUCAACAAAUCCCUGCAACACCGCAUUCAUCAAUCCACUUCCCAUGGACGAAUUCGCCCCCGACACCAUAUAGCCCUGCUGCUGCGG